Molecule: ribosomal RNA, 424 nt
Filed under: uncultured bacterium
Lineage: Bacteria
Description: bacterial SSU rRNA
Rfam family: Bacterial small subunit ribosomal RNA
Source: RNAcentral
GAAUCAUUCACAAUGGGCGAAAGCCUGAUGGUGCGACGCCGCGUGAGGGACGAAGGCCUUCGGGUCGUAAACCUCUGUCACCGGGGAAGAAACGCUGCAUUUUAACAGAAUGCAGCCUGACUUAACCCGGAGAGGCAGCAGUGGCUAACCCUGUGCCAGCAGCCGCGGUAAUACAGAGACUGCGAGCGUUAUUCGGAUUCACUGGGCGUAAAGGGUGCGCAGGCGGCCGUGUGUGUCAGGUGUGAAAUCUCGAGGCUCAACCUCGAAAUUGCGCCUGAAACUACACGGCUAGAGUACUGGAGAGGGAAACGGGAUUCACGGUGUAGCAGUGAAAUUCGUAGAUAUCGUGAGGAACACCAGAGGCGAAGGCGGUUUCCUGGACAGUUACUGACGCUCAGGCACGAAAGCGUGGGGAGCAAACAGG